Molecule: long non-coding RNA, 7188 nt
Organism: Phragmites australis (common reed)
Lineage: Eukaryota; Viridiplantae; Streptophyta; Magnoliopsida; Poales; Poaceae
Exons: 3
Source: RefSeq, a predicted model, not a curated record
ACCUCUCUCCUCUCUCCAUGAAGCCACCACCACCGCACACACUCGCCAGGAAAUGCUUUGGAUGGAGCGUCGAAUACUAGUCCCUCCCUCUCCUGCCUUCUCUCUCUAGGCUUAACUUGCCUUGCCAAGAAAAUCUUGGAUUUUUCCCGAGGCUUCCCGUCUGAUAUCCAUGGUUCGUGGUGGUCUGGUGGAGAUUUCUUCUCUUUCCUGCAGGCUCUUUAUCAGAUUUCCCAUGCUGCAAUCAUGAAAACUUCCAUGAAGAAGGGGUAAUGAAAAUCGUGCUUUGCCUCUUGGAUCAUGGAGAAGAAGCGGCUUGCAUUGUUCCAAACAAUGUUGAGGGACAACCAACAUCGUGUGGCAAAAGGAUAUGUGAAGAAAAGGUGAUAGGUGGUCACUUCAACAUUCUGAGCGCAGAGAACACAUCUAUAAUCAUUCCCUACAAUAUGGAAUUUUUUUCUUCUAAGAAGAUUCAUGGAAUUAAGCCUGUCUUUGAAGAGUAGCCAAUCAAAUACUUUGAUUUUUUUAUGCACUUGGAUUUCCAGAUCCAAUUAGAGGGGGGUGGGGUGAGAUUGCCUUGAAAUUGGAGGCAUAGAACUUCCAGGAAGAGUUGCUGUUGGAGCCCCAGCAACAUUCCCAUGUGUCCCUUUGGUUGGCUGAGACCUGUACUUGAGCCAUAAUCUCAUGAAGUAUUAUAAGUUCAUCAAGUGCUUGCUGGCUCAUUGGUGAGUGAAACUGAUCUUGAUGGCUUCCAAGUAGUACAACUGUGAGUAGUUCUUAUUACCGCAGCGUACCAGUAAUUGUCAUUUGCUACUUCUUUUAACAUUGUUUAACGAAUUUUGCAUACUAUAGAUUGUUUUGCGCCCUUUGUGUUAUUCUGUCACAAUAACUCUUUUUGUCAUAAGAAAAUAUCUUCUUCACUUAUGAUCAUGACAAUUGUUUUUGAAAUGUACAUACCAAGAAUUUGCUACCUCCAUUUUCCUUUUAUUUGUCGUUAUGGACAUAAACACAAUGUUCCAAUAAAUGUAUUUAAUUAUUACUUUUUUCUAGUCACUACAAAGUGCUAGAUUUUUUUAAAAAACAGACAAAUAAGUAUUUUGAGGACAACCUACAAUUGUCAUUUCCAUAUGACAAAUCAUGAAUCUAAUACUUCUAUGCAUAUAAGUGGUCAAAAUUUUUGAAGUUGACUACAUGAACCAUACCAUAAGACAUUUGUAUGAGAAUGGAGGUGUACUAUGUAUGCCAAGUAUGAUCAUUCAUUAAUUGGGCACUGAAAACCCCAUGGACUUUAUUAGGCAUGUACGGUGCAAGUUCUUAUAGUGGUGCUUAGCAAAAUACAACUACUUACCCUUGCAAGCCGCCAUGUCGAAUAGGUAGACAAAUGGUACUUAUUUUGAUGCAUCAAUGCUCAGGUAGACACCUAUGUCGAAUAGGUUCUUGUGGAUAUAAUUACAUAUAAUUUAGGAAAUUACACUUUUGUUCUUAUUAUUUCAGCAAAAUCAGUUUCCCAUAUGGAAAAUUAUCUAUUUUAUUUUUAUAGUUUUGCAAUAUUUGCAAUUUUUUAAUACUAAUUAAAUGACAUUGCAUUGUUAUAGAUAAAAUUCAUAUUAGCUUGCGCUUGAAGAUGCUGACAUGGGCUUGACAUGCGCCAUAAUGUCGCCUCUGCCAUUCUAUGGGGCUCUUUCAAGUUCCACCCUUUUUGCAUAGCAUUUUUACCGAACAUUUUGCUGCUACACUCGGCCUACACAUUCUCAUCAGCUGUCCAUCAUACUAGCAAACUUGCUUGGUCGGUACCUCAUUCACCAUUUGCACUGCUUAGCCAAAUUAAACCCCCAAGGAGACUCAAAGAGGCGGCUUCACUUGAUUGUGAUGAAGAGAAUAGUUAGACGAUGGAACAAUCAACUUUUUUUAAUUAGAAAAAGUCUACAUAACCCCACAAACUAUCGACUGGUAUAUACUUAAAACCCUGAACUACAAAAUCAGGUAUUGUGGACCUUAAACUUUACAAAAUUGUUUACUUAACCCUCUAACUUGGUUUCUAAGGCUUUUUUCACCUCACUGGCAUCCACGUUGGCACUGGUUUUGCCACACAGGUGGGGAUGGGCACUAGGACCACAUGUGAGUGGCACAUGUUAUGGACCCUUCUUCUUUCUUCUUCUUUCUUUUCACCCCACCCAGUCCUUCCCCUGUGCUUCUUCUCCACUCGCUCCGGUGUCGCCUCGAUGGGACCGUGCCGUCACCCCUCUUUUCUCUUGUUCCACACCCAAGCGCCACGUCGCACCCUCUCCUCAGCCUAAGCACAUUGCUCCCCUCCCUUCUUCGCCUGGGCCGCAUCGGCUUGCGCCCUACCUCCUCAGGUCGUGCUGCCUCCUCCAAGUUCAAGCUCCCCCUUAUCUCUAGCGAAUUUGGUUUGGGUUUGUUUGAAUCGGAGUCCAGCCGCCGCAAUCCAUGGAAUUUGUAACCAAUUCAAUCUCGAGUGGUAGCCUUGGUUGCCGGCCUAUAUAUAGAAGGGAGGGUAUUGCUGUGAGAGGGGAAGAUUGGAGGAAGAGCGUCGAAGCCCUAUCAAGAUCUCGCUAUCACCCUGGCCCUCAUCCUUUGCCGCUGCCGAGCUCAGCUUGAACUCUUUCUAUUGACAAAUAGUAACGUCAGGGAGCUGGUUAGAAUAUGGUGGUGCUCGCUGUCGGGCCCUUGCAGCCCUUGUGAUGGAGAAGCUCGCUGUUGCCGCCGGUCACCGCGAUGAGUUGCCCUCUUUUCUCUCCAUCCUUUGUCGCAUGUCAUCCAUGAUAACGCGGGUCCUUGUUGGCUGCUGGUGACACCGUGUGUUGAGGUGCCUGUUGACACCGUGGUGCCCGCCACCGUUGCACUCUAUUGCCUGUUGAUGCCUUCUUGCUCGCGGACGAUGAUGGUCAACCUGAGGCCGUCGCUCUGUCCUCGCUCUGGUGCUCUCGAUGCAUGUCAUGAUCGCGUUGGUUCUAUUAAGCUUGUUGUUAGUGCUGUUGUCGUAUUCCUGACGUCUGAUGCCAUCCUGUUGUGCUGCCAAGUAUAUCACAAUUCACCAAGGCCCUUCUGUUAUCGCUUGUCAUCUGGCCGAUGAUGGCCAAGCUGAGGCCGCCCGAUGUUGCCACCAUUGAGAUGCUCCAGGCGGUGUGAACUCUAUUAUCAUUAAGGUGCUCAACUGGUGUGUAGGCGUGCGUUGUUGUCGCCAUUGUUCUGAUCGAUCUUUGGCUGGGCCAAGAUAAAAGAAAGAAGAAAGAAGAAGGGUCCCUAACCUAUGCCAUUGACAUGCGGUCCUUGUGCUUGUCCCCGCCUGUGUGGCAAAAUCAGUGCCAACGUGGAUGCCAGCGAGGCAAAAAUAGCCUCAGAAACAAGGUUAGGGGGUUCGGUAAAUGGUUUUACAAAUUUAAGUUCCACAAUACCUAGUUUGUAGUACGGGGUUUUAAGUAUACACCACUCGAUAGUUUAGGGGGUUAUGUAGACUUUUUCCUUUCAAUUAUACUGAUUAUGGAACAUAUAUUGGAAUUUUUUAAAGGUGGAAUAAAUAAUCAUGUAUAAAUUAUGGACUUUGUUGUAUGCGAGUCGAUGGAAAGAGUCAAAUGAGAACCACAUUAAACUAGGACAUGGAGAUCUAGAAAUAUUGGCACUGUGCAAAUAUCUAAAAAUAAUGACCACCUUACAUAGCAUUUUCACCGAACAUUUUGCCGCUACACUCGGCCUACACAUUCUCAGCUGUCCAUCAUACUAGCAAACUUGCUUGAUCGGUACCUCAUUCACCAUUUGCACUGCUUAGCCAAAUUAAUCCCCCAAGGAGACUCAAAGAGGCGGCUUCACUUCAUUGUGAUGAAGAGAAUAGUUAAACGAUGGAACAAUCAAUUUUUUUUAAUUAGGGAAAAGUCUACAUAACUCUCUAAAUUAUCGACUGGUGUAUAAUUAAAACCCUGAACUACAAAAUCAAGUAUUGUUGACAUUAAACUUUGCAAAACCGUUUACUUAACCCCCUAACUUGGUUUAUGAGGGUUUUUUCACCUCACUGGCAUCCACACUGGCACUGGUUUUGCCACAUAGGUGGGGAUGGGCACUAGGACCGCAUGUCAGUGGCACAUGUUAUGGACCCUUCUUCUUUUUUUUUCUUCCCAUCCAACCCUUCCCCUGUGCUUCUUCUCCACUCGCUCCGGUGUCACCUCGAUGGGACUGUGCUGCCACCCCUCUUCUCUCUUGGUCCACACCCGGGCGCGCCGCAUCGCACCCUCUCCUCGGCCUGAGCACAUUGCUCCCCUCCCUCCUUCGCCUAGGCCGCAUCGGCCUACACCCUACCUCCUCAGGUCACGCCGCCUCCUCCAUGAUCGAGUCCCCCCCCCCUCCUAUCUCUAGCAGAUGUGGUUUGGGUUUGUUUGAAUCGGAGUCCGGCCACCGCAAUCCAUGGAAUUCGUAACUGAUUGAAUCUUGAGCAGUAGCCCUGGUUGCCGGCCUAUAUAUAGAAGGGAGGGUACUGCUGUGAGAGGGGAAGAUUGGAGGAAGAGCGUUGAAGCCCUAUCAAGAUCUUGUUGUCACCCUGGCUCUCAUCCUUUGCCGCCAUCGAGCUCAAUUUGAACUCUUGCUAUUGACAAAUAGGUUGUCAGGGAGCCGGUUGGAAUAUGGUGGUGCUCGCUGCCCAGCCCUUGCAGCCCUCGUGAUGGAAAAGCUCGUUGUUGCUGCCGGUCCCUGCGUGAGUUGCCCUCUUUUCUCUACAUCCUUUGUCGCAAGUCAUCCAUGAUAACCUUGUUGACCGCUGGUGACGUCGCGUGUCAAGGUGCCUGUUCACACCGUGGUGCCCGCCACCGCCUCACUCUAUUGCUUGUUGAUGCCUUCUUGCUCGGGACUGAUGAUGGUCAAGCUGAGGCCGUCGCUUUGUCCUCGCUCUGGUGCGCUCUUCUGUUAUCACUUGUCCUCUGUCCGAUGAUGGCCAAACUGAGGCCACCCGAUGCCGCCACCAUUGAGAUGCUCUAGGUGGUGCGAUCACUAUUGCCAUUAAGGUACUCAGCUGGUGUGCAGGCGUGCAUUGUUGUUGCCAUUGUUCUGAUCGAUCUUUGGCUGGGCCAGGAGAAAAGAAAGAAGAAAGAAGAAAGGUCCCUAACCUGUGCCAUUGACAUGCGGUCCUUGUGCUUGUCCCUGCCUGUGUGGCAAAAUCAGUGCCAACGUGGACGCCAGCAAGGCGAAAAUAGCCUCAGAAACCAGGUUAGGGGGUAAAGUAAACAGUUUUACAAAGUUUAAGUUCCACAAUACCUGGUUUUGUAGUACGAGGUUUUAAGUAUACACCACUCGAUAGUUUAGGGAGUUAUGUAAACUUUUUCCUUUCAAUUGUACUGAUUAUGGAACAGAUAUUGGAGUUUUUUAAAGGCAGAAUAAAUAAUCAUGUACAAAUUAUGGACUUUGUUGUAUGUGAGUCGAUGGAAAGAGUCAAAUGAGAACCACCUUAAACUAGGACAUGGAGAUCUAGAAAUAUUGGCACUGUGCAAAUAUCUAAAAAUGAUGACCACCUUAUAUUUUUCUUUAGAUCACCAUGUUUCUUUUUUAGUGUGUGUUUCAUAUCGGCGCUGUUGCUUUCCCCUACAAAUCAAGCAGUUGUUUCCAUUUUUCAAUUUGUCUUCCAGUUGUGUUCACAUCGAUGUUUACGGUUAGCUGGUUCUCCAGCUCUUCCCAUUCUUUUGUAUUUCUCUGCUAACCUGUGAGUUGACAUGAUAUUCAUAUGCUUACCAUUGUGAUCAUUACCUUUCGCUGUUUACUUAUUGAGACAUUUUUAUCCCACCCUUGCUUCCUAGCCUGUUGCUCCUGGCAGAAACAAGCUGAGUAGCAUUCAUUGGCAUGAGCUUCUACUUUUCUGAUCUUACAAAUAUUUUCAACAAAAUCCCAUGGUCUCAGUUUGAUCUUUAUUCUGUGUUAAAUUCUCCUCUGUUUUUUUUUUGCAUGCUUAGGUUCUUGGAUUUUACAUUCGUAUCAUUUUAUUGGAUAUUUCGGCCAAGUUUUUGAGUAGACAUUAAUUUACAUUUUUCUAUCGAUUGCAAUGGCAUUUUGCUUGGUGUUGAUAUAGAAGCAAUGGCUGUGGAUCUUACAGAAAAACAUCCAAAAUGAAGAAUCCCACAGUCUGUAGUUUUUGGUGUAUUCUUGAUCCUACCAUCCAUGGUUUAGCCUGAUUAUUGGUUUUAUUUUUGUUCCAUUCCAAUUUCAAUGUCGUCAUUUGUGUAUAUUGCUAAUGCCACUGCUAUUGCAUUUUUUUUAGCAUGGCGGCGCCUAUUAGUCAAACUAGGUGGUGACAACAGUUCUCAUUAGCAAUCUGAUCCCAAUUAACUUUGUAUAUUAAUCGUGCAAUUUUGUAUCUUACCUUUCCUCUUAGAAUGUCUAUCUUUCUGUAUAGUGUAAUAGAUUUUUGUCCAGUGUUAAAAAUACCAUGUAGAAACGGUGCAUUCUUUUCGUUGCUUGUUUUGUUGUUUUGUUCAAUCCUGUCCGCGCAGGCUUGCUUGGAGGGACUGGGGUGGGUCUAAAAAAAGAAUAGGCAUGAAUCCGGAGCUGUGUGUGCAUACUAGCAUACCUGAUUGAACUUUUAAGAAAUGGUGUUUACACAAAUGGAGCUAAUCAUCUUGCAUCCUUUGUGGCAUCUGAGCUGUCCUGUGUCUGUUUCUAUUGAGGCAUCGGCAUUUUGUUGCCUCCAAGGACAAAGCUUAUGUAUUUUGAUCGAUACAAAUCAGAACAAGGCUUUCGACAUGUUUGGAUCCCAAUCUUCGUCUUAACACAUUUAUUUGGUAAAUCAAGACCAACAUAACUGGAGAAAAGCAUCAAUCUUAUUACAGAUGAGCAUGUGCAGCAUGUACUGUAUAGCCUUGCAACAGAAGCAUAGUAUAUUUUCAACGGGCAUCCUUUUUUUAAGAGCUGGAGUAGGGGAAUCCCCUAAUAUAUUGCGGCAACUUUAUUAAUAAAGGCCCACGGAGGCUAUUAACAAACUGUACAACGCCUACAGUAGGCUAGCCUUAGAGAGACGAACGAGAAAUGAAUAAAGCUAAACAAAGUUGUUAAUCCAGUGGGAUAACGAAACAUGUAAAGCACAUUUAAUUCUGUGCAACUAUAAGUGCACAAUGUUAAUGAAAGUGCUAAUGAAUUGCUCCAUCAUUUGUGAAAAGUUAGAUUGACUUGCUGAAAGAUUUUUGCAUUCAUUUGCUUUCA